GACGAACGCUGGCGGCAUGCCUAAUACAUGCAAGUCGAACGAGCUUCCGUUGAAUGACGUGCUUGCACUGAUUUCAACAAUGAAGCGAGUGGCGAACUGGUGAGUAACACGUGGGAAAUCUGCCCAGAAGCAGGGGAUAACACUUGGAAACAGGUGCUAAUACCGUAUAACAACAMAAUCCGCAUGGAUUUUGUUUGAAAGGUGGCUUCGGCUAUCACUUCUGGAUGAUCCCGCGGCGUAUUAGUUAGUUGGUGAGGUAAAGGCCCACCAAGACRAUGAUACGUAGCCGACCUGAGAGGGUAAUCGGCCACAUUGGGACUGAGACACGGCCCAAACUCCUACGGGAGGCAGCAGUAGGGAAUCUUCCACAAUGGACGAAAGUCUGAUGGAGCAAUGCCGCGUGAGUGAAGAAGGGUUUCGGCUCGUAAAACUCUGUUGUUAAAGAAGAACACCUUUGAGAGUAACUGUUCAAGGGUUGACGGUAUUUAACCAGAAAGCCACGGCUAACUACGUGCCAGCAGCCGCGGUAAUACGUAGGUGGCAAGCGUUGUCCGGAUUUAUUGGGCGUAAAGCGAGCGCAGGCGGUUUUUUAAGUCUGAUGUGAAAGCCUUCGGCUUAACCGGAGAAGUGCAUCGGAAACUGGGAGACUUGAGUGCAGAAGAGGACAGUGGAACUCCAUGUGUAGCGGUGGAAUGCGUAGAUAUAUGGAAGAACACCAGUGGCGAAGGCGGCUGUCUAGUCUGUAACUGACGCUGAGGCUCGAAAGCAUGGGUAGCGAACAGGAUUAGAUACCCUGGUAGUCCAUGCCGUAAACGAUGAGUGCUAAGUGUUGGAGGGUUUCCGCCCUUCAGUGCUGCAGCUAACGCAUUAAGCACUCCGCCUGGGGAGUACGACCGCAAGGUUGAAACUCAAAGGAAUUGACGGGGGCCCGCACAAGCGGUGGAGCAUGUGGUUUAAUUCGAAGCUACGCGAAGAACCUUACCAG
This 985-nucleotide ribosomal RNA is filed under the name Levilactobacillus brevis. RNAcentral describes it as "bacterial SSU rRNA". It matches the Rfam family "Bacterial small subunit ribosomal RNA", at positions 28 to 977 of the family's 1533-position model. Lineage: Bacteria; Bacillati; Bacillota; Bacilli; Lactobacillales; Lactobacillaceae. The record is from RNAcentral.